Long non-coding RNA from Triplophysa rosa, 1585 nucleotides. RefSeq lists it as uncharacterized. Lineage: Eukaryota; Metazoa; Chordata; Actinopteri; Cypriniformes; Nemacheilidae. The transcript has 4 exons. The record is from RefSeq and is a predicted model, not a curated record.
UAAACACUCUGUCAUUAACAAUCACGAUGAACAUGAUAAUAAAACUGAAUAAACACGACAGAGUUACGCACCCGAUUAAAAGUUAAUUCAUCAUUUUUGUGCGGUAAUGGAUGAAGUUGCGCGGUGACGUCAAGCCCCUGAUCUGACUAUGCGGAGCGCUGCUGCUGCUGCUGAGAGCACAUGGAGGAGAGAGCACGAGCACUUAGCAGCUUUGCUAAUGGAGCCUUACUCGCUAAAUAUAAAGAAACCAAGAGAAUUUACACCUAGAAAGUGGACGGAUUUGUUUGAGGCGUCCAAAAUGAACGUUGAGCUGCGGCACUCAUUCUACGGUUGGGCGAUGUCUACCAAAUUGGAAUGGGACGAUGGCUACAGUGAAACAUCGCGAUGGACGAUGACAUCGUCCUGCGGCGUUAUAAAGUGUAGAGAAAGCUGGUGAGGAUGUUUGCAAGGAUGUAAGCGACAUCAUCUUCAUGGAGCUUGUGAGAAAGCACCAUUGCAUCAGUCACUCACCCUGCCAAUGAGGAAUGAGGUGAAGAGGUUGUGAUAAGAGCAUGCCGCGGGACGGCCUGACCUUCAGAGUAUUGGACUGAACUCGGACAGCAGCGACACAGCAUGAGCCGGGGAACACGAGGCACUUACCUGGGAGACGUUGUCCUGCUGAACAUCGUGAGUCACACUGGCAGUGAUGACAUCAAAGUAUGACGUCACCUGGACUGUUAAAUGGGUCAGAAGCACCUGAUGGUGGACCAGACUGAUCUGAAAUGGAGAUUGUGUCCAUGUUGUGUUGAGUUUUAAAAUGUUUACGUCAGGGGUGUUUGGAGGGGCCUAUCAGUUAUUGUCUGAUAUAUUUCUGAAUAAAAAUAUUUACUAAAAAAAAAUACACAGAUUAGGCUUGUUUUCCAUUCAAAUGUUUUCGUGUUUUACUUACACAAAUGUCAUGUACCUCAAUAAUAUGUAAUAUGCCAGUCUUAAAAUGCAAUUCUUAAAACUUAAAAUGCAAAGUUUAAUACUGUUGGCAUAAUAAAGGUUGAAUCCCAAUGUGUUAAACCCAGAGUGACCCGAUUAAACGGUAAUACUGACAUAUACUGUACGUUUUAAUCUUUAAGUACGUUUGAAAUGCAUGACAUCAUAAUGGUGAUGAUGUCUAUAUGUUAGAUAUAUAAUAAGAUGGUUUGAUUAAGUAAAGCGCUGGCUGGGAUUUUCCAGUGCCGCCUCAGUAAAGCCCCAGGUUAAUGGAAUUGCUUCAGAUCUGCUGUUAGGGAUUGAGACGCAUCCCUUUAAAUUAAUGAGCGAGAGCCAGAUGGAGUUGAUGGAGAAUAACAGGAGGAGGGUUCAGUGGAGGACACGCCCAAUCUGGCUAGACUGUUCUGUCAGUGGAUUCUCAUAAUCCUCUUUCUCGGAUGUGAUUACCUCUAACAAAAAACGUAAAGCUCAGGCUUAGAGAUUUAUUUGAUAUAAACAAUCUGAUGUUUUUUGUGAAUGGUGAAUAAAAGCGAUGCAAAGACACGCACUAGUCUCGGCUUGUGUAUUUGUUUCUAGUGGUCACAAGACCAGCAAACGUGUUGUUUUAUCUCACUUGUAGACC